AAUAUUGGACAAUGGGGGCAACCCUGAUCCAGCCAUGCCGCGUGAGUGAUGAAGGCCUUAGGGUUGUAAAGCUCUUUCAGUGGGGAAGAAACGGACGGUACCUUAGGAGGAAGCCCCGGCUAACUACGUGCCAGCAGCCGCGGUAAUACGUAGGGGGCGAGCGUUAUCCGGAAUUACUGGGCGUAAAGGGUGCGUAGGCGGCCUUUUAAGUCAGAUGUGAAAGGCUACGGCUUAACCGUAGUUAGCAUUUGAAACUAAAAGGCUUGAGUGCAGGAGAGGAGAGUGGAAUUCCUAGUGUAGCGGUGAAAUGCGUAGAUAUUAGGAGGAACACCAGUGGCGAAGGCGACUCUCUGGACUGCAACUGACGCUGAGGCACGAAAGCGUGGGGAGCGAACA
RNAcentral lists this ribosomal RNA (396 nucleotides) under uncultured bacterium. RNAcentral's name for it is "partial 16S ribosomal RNA". It matches the Rfam family "Bacterial small subunit ribosomal RNA", at positions 360 to 774 of the family's 1533-position model. The record is from RNAcentral.